CAGUCGAACGGACUUAACAUGAAACCUAGUGAUUGUUAAGUUAGUGGCGGACGGGUGAGUAACGCGUGGAUAACCUGCCGUAUGCGGGGGGAUAACAGUUGGAAACAGCUGCUAAUACCGCAUAAGCGCACAGUACCGCAUGGUACGGUGUGAAAAGAUUUAUCGGCAUACGAUGGAUCCGCGUCCGAUUAGCCAGUUGGCGGGGUAACGGCCCACCAAAGCGACGAUCGGUAGCCGGCCUGAGAGGGCGGACGGCCACAUUGGGACUGAGACACGGCCCAAACUCCUACGGGAGGCAGCAGUGGGGAAUAUUGCACAAUGGGGGAAACCCUGAUGCAGCGACGCCGCGUGAGUGAAGAAGUAUCUCGGUAUGUAAAGCUCUAUCAGCAGGGAAGAAAAUGACGGUACCUGACUAAGAAGCCCCGGCUAACUACGUGCCAGCAGCCGCGGUAAUACGUAGGGGGCAAGCGUUAUCCGGAUUUACUGGGUGUAAAGGGAGCGUAGACGGCGCUGCAAGUCCGGAGUGAAAGCCCAUGGCUUAACCAUGGUACUGCUCUGGAAACUGUGGAGCUUGAGUGCGGGAGGGGCAGGCGGAAUUCCUAGUGUAGCGGUGAAAUGCGUAGAUAUUAGGAGGAACACCGGCGGCGAAGGCGGCCUGCUGGACCGUAACUGACGUUGAGGCUCGAAAGCGUGGGGAGCAAACAGGAUUAGAUACCCUGGUAGUCCACGCCGUANACGAUGAUUACCAGGUGUCGCGGUANG
RNAcentral lists this ribosomal RNA (762 nucleotides) under uncultured bacterium. RNAcentral's name for it is "bacterial SSU rRNA". It matches the Rfam family "Bacterial small subunit ribosomal RNA", at positions 59 to 832 of the family's 1533-position model. The record is from RNAcentral.